This 497-nucleotide ribosomal RNA is filed under the name uncultured bacterium. RNAcentral's name for it is "partial 16S ribosomal RNA". It matches the Rfam family "Bacterial small subunit ribosomal RNA", at positions 28 to 507 of the family's 1533-position model. The record is from RNAcentral.
GAUGAACGCUGGCGGCGUGCCUAAUACAUGCAAGUCGAGCGAACAGAUCAGGAGCUUGCUCCUUUGACGUUAGCGGCGGACGGGUGUGUAACACGUGGGUAACCUACCUAUAAGACUGGGAUAACUUCGGGACACCGGCGCUAAUACCGGAUAACAUUUGGAACCGCAUGGUUCUAAAGUGAAAGAUGGUUUUGCUAUCACUUAUAGAUGGACCCGCGCCGUAUUAGCUAGUUGGGAAGGUAACGGCUUACCAAGGCGACGAUACGUAUCCGACCUGAGAGGGGGAUCGGCGACACGGGAACGGGGCCACGGUCCAGGCUACUACGGUAGGCAGCAGUAGGGAACCGUACGCAAUGGGGGAAAGCCUGACGGAGCAACGGCGCGUGAGUGAUGAAGGGUUUCGGCUCGUAAAACUCUGUUAUUAGGGAAGAACAAACGUGGAAGUAACUGUGCACGUCUUGACGGUACCUAAUCAGAAAGCCACGGCUAACUACGUG